RNAcentral lists this ribosomal RNA (817 nucleotides) under uncultured bacterium. RNAcentral's name for it is "bacterial SSU rRNA". It matches the Rfam family "Bacterial small subunit ribosomal RNA", at positions 62 to 883 of the family's 1533-position model. The record is from RNAcentral.
UCGAGCGGGAUUCCCUUUCGGGGGAUGAGAGCGGCGCACGGGUGAGUAACGCGUAUGCAACCUGCCCCAAACAGGGGGAUAGCCCGGAGAAAUCCGGAUUAAUCCGCCAUAUUAUUAUGAAGUCGCAUGACUUUAUGAUCAAAGCUACGGCGGUUUGGGAUGGGCAUGCGUGACAUUAGCUAGUUGGUGAGGUAACGGCUCACCAAGGCUGCGAUGUCUAGGGGUUCUGAGAGGAUGAUCCCCCACACUGGUACUGAGACACGGACCAGACUCCUACGGGAGGCAGCAGUGAGGAAUAUUGGUCAAUGGGCGCAAGCCUGAACCAGCCAUCCCGCGUGAAGGAAGACUGCCCUAUGGGUUGUAAACUUCUUUUGUACAUGAAGAACGUUUCUUACGAGUAAGAGAGUGACGGUAAUGUACGAAUAAGCAUCGGCUAACUCCGUGCCAGCAGCCGCGGUAAUACGGAGGAUGCAAGCGUUAUCCGGAUUCAUUGGGUUUAAAGGGUACGUAGGUGGCCCUGUAAGUCAGUGGUGAAAACCUGUCGCUUAACGAUAGGCGUGCCAUUGAUACUGCGRGGCUUGAGUCCAGUUGAGGUAGGCGGAAUGUGUAGUGUAGCGGUGAAAUGCAUAGAUAUUACACAGAACUCCGAUUGCGAAGGCAGCUUACUAAACUGACACUGACGCUGAGGUACGAAAGCGUGGGUAGCGAACAGGAUUAGAUACCCUGGUAGUCCACGCCGUAAACGAUGCUCACUGGCUGUAUGCGAUACACAGUAUGCGGCCAAGCGAAAGCGCUAAGUGAGCCACCUGGGGAGUCC